UUAUUAAUAACCCCAAAAACACUCAAUAUUAAUUAAACAAACCAUUUUUCCCCCCAAGUAUGGGCGACAGAAAAGGAACAUUCAGAGCAAUAGAAAAAGUACCGCAAGGGAAUGCUGAAAAAGAAGUGAAACAACUCAGUAAAGUUUAAAAAAGCAAAGAUUCACCCUUGUACCUUUUGCAUCAUGAUUUAGUCAGUAAAAACAAGCAAAAGGCACUUUAGUUUGAUUUCCCGAAACUAAGUGAGCUACUCCAAGACAGCCUAAAAUAGGGCUAACCCGUCUCUGUGGCAAAAGAGUGGGAUGAGCUUAGAGUAGAGGUGAUAAACCUACCGAACUUAGUUAUAGCUGGUUGCCUGAGAAAUGAAUACAAGUUCAGCUUUUUGGUUUCUCCCUCCAACCUGCUUAACUAUAAACGAACCAAAGAAUCCAAAAAAGUUAAUUAAAGGGGGUACAGCUCCUUUAAACAAGAUACAACUUCACCAGCCGGGUAAAGAUCAUAUACAAUCAAGGUAAAAUGUUUUAGUGGGCCUAAAAGCAGCCACCUAUAAGAAAGCGUCAAAGCUCCUUCAUAUCACCCCCCCCC
RNAcentral lists this ribosomal RNA (583 nucleotides) under Betta raja. Its description in RNAcentral is "partial 16S ribosomal RNA". The stretch from base 152 to 583 matches the Rfam family "Bacterial large subunit ribosomal RNA", at positions 568 to 1165 of the family's 2925-position model. Lineage: Eukaryota; Metazoa; Chordata; Actinopteri; Anabantiformes; Osphronemidae. The record is from RNAcentral.